Molecule: long non-coding RNA, 489 nt
Organism: Corvus hawaiiensis (hawaiian crow)
Lineage: Eukaryota; Metazoa; Chordata; Aves; Passeriformes; Corvidae
Exons: 3
Source: RefSeq, a predicted model, not a curated record
CAAAGGUGCCAGUGGGUAAAAAGGCAGAGUAUUUUGUGGGGAGCGCUUCUCAGCAGACAUGCUAUGAGACCACUACAAAAGCUAAAACCAUUUCUCAUGGGAGCUGUGGUUUAGUGGAGUGCAAAUUUUGGCACAGUUCUCUCCUCUGGCUCACCUCGCCUUCUGCAGGAGGUAGGAUCUGGCUGCAGUACAGGAACAACCAGACUUCUUCUCUUGCCUCCACAUCACUGUGCAAGAUAUCUCCCUGCAGUUAUGGAAGUCCGUGGAAAACCACACCACAUGAAUUCAGCGUUACAGGCUGAGCCUUGGACAUGAGCUGGUGUCAUGUACCUGCUGCAAAGCCUCAGUAUGGCAGAAAGGGCUGCUAAUUACACUGCCUGGAGUAGAAAGUUUGGGUAAUCAAGGAAGGGGAAAUGAUUUACAUCCAAGGGGAUGUGAGAGUCCUGCCUGUGGAGCUGAGACCUUGAGAAAAACCUGUGGCAGAUGUGA